CUUGCUUAUAAAACUUUCUACGGGUAGCUAUUAGAAAAAUGAAAUUUAUGGAAUGAAAACUUAGCUAAAAUAUUCGGAUUUAAUUUUGUGUCACUGAUUUCAUCAAAAUAUCUUGACCUUAUUAAACAACUACUUCGACUUUUCAACAAAGAGAGAGGCUGACCAAUAUAGUUGAAUUAUACACAUCGCUUUCUUUCUGUGACCGGAUUUCCAUCACAAUCGCUACUACUAUUUAACAAGGUUAACAAUAAUAAAAAAAUCGAAUAAAAGUUAACAAUUAUACCUAUCUCUAAUAUACUGAACAAAACAUUAGCCAGCCUUUACACUGCAGCAGCUAAAACUUAUAUUCCCUUGCCCAUGAUACUCAGCAACAACAUCAUGAAUACAAAAAAGUAAGUCAUCCAAGGAAAUUUAUGAGUUCAAAAAAUGGAAUAAAGUAUUACACAUUCACUACUUUAGAUUGUAUAGCUCCAGGGUAAACUGUCGUUCCUUAAUACUUUUGUUACUUAUGCACCGAAUUCGACUAUUUCGCAUUCAUUAGUGAUAGACGUGAAUCAACAAAUCCAAGGGGUGUAGAUAGUUUAUAAUUUAUCUUGUAACGCAGUUUGUUUAUCACAUACUCUCUUAGAAUUUGACAGUCAUGACAACGACCACGGUAGCAAUUGCAUUUCAUAUGCAUAAUAUGAAAAUACUUUUUUUUUACGAUAGCUUUUAAUCGGCUUGGUGAAACCGUUGUUAAUAUUCAAACAACAUUUUGAUGUCUUCAAUUGACUGAACCUGCUGCUUUCCUUCCGACAUGCCCAGGGUCCCAGUAAUAAAAUUUUUGCGUUCUUGUAUUUUGAGCAUCCUUUCCUCAACAGUAUCACGUACAAUAUAUCUCGUCACAAAUACAGGCUUUUCCUGUCCUAAACGAUGAAUACGAUCGAUGGCCUGUGCUUCCACUGACCAGCUCCACCAUGGAUCCAUAAUAAAAACAUGGUUGGCACAAGUAAGGUUUAAACCAACCCCGCCUGCCUUUAAAGAGAUAAUCAGCACGUUAACAUCAGGAUCAUUUCGAAAUGUCUCUAAAGCCGUCGACCUCAUUUGUUGUGACAUGGUACCAUCGAAUCUAGCAUACCCCAUCUUCUCUGACUCGAGAACGUCUGCGAUAAUAUCCAGGAAUGUGGUAAACUGUGAAAAGAUAACGACCUUUUCAGGUUCAGAACUAUGAGUUAAUUGACGCAAUUGUCCUAAAAGGCCAUUAAGUUUCACUGAUUGUAGCCUAUUCCAAUAUUUCCAUUUUACUUCCUCACCGACUAAAAGCGUAGACUGUGUUCCGUUAUUUUUGACAAAAAAAGGUUUAUAGACAUCUUGCUCAUUGAAGGGUUGACGACAUGUAUGACAAAGCGGAGGAAUUAUGUUUCUUCUUUUUUGAUACUGAAUAUGUUCUGACAAACAAUCUCCGCAACAAGCAUGCUUGCAGUUCAAUAACAAGGGAUUUUGAAUUGGUUCAUUACAACAUAUGGGACAUUCCGUUAUCAAUGCUUCAAAAGACUUCAGUGUAUCAAUUUUUAAAAUAUCUGAAGGAAUGGGCUUUCCAGUGACAACAAAUUGAUUAAUUAAAGAAUUAAAUUGCUCAACCGAAAACUCAAAAUCAUCAAACGUUUCACUGUUAAUGGUCAUAUUGGAAAGAAGCACAGGGUCACAACACGCCUGUCUUAAUCUUAAAAGUAAUCCGAGGAUCGUUGUAUAGUUUCUGAACAGCGUUCCGGCAACUAUGUUUGCAUUAACGGUACUUUUUGCUUUGGUAUAGAGAGAGUCAUAAAUUUUCCUUUCUGAGUCAGAAAAGUCCAAAUAUUCAAUUUUUACGGUUUUUGGAGGUAACGUAACAAUUGAGUUUCCGUUUCUAUCUUUAGUUUCUUUGGUUCUUCUCAAAACUAAAAACUCCAAAAUUGAUUGAACAACAUUCAACGCCUUUAAGACAUCUUUUGACUGAUAUGGCAGACUCACAAAGGUUUGCCAAUAAGUGUAAUUACACCACGGCUCAUAUCGCAUAAAUUUAAUCAAGCUAUACAAGUCAUCCAGUUUAUUGACUAUUGGCGUACCUGUAAUCACCCAACGAUUCUGGGACGAAAUACUAUGACACGCUUUCGCGGUUUUGCUUUCCCUAUUUCUAAUGUUAUGUCCUUCAUCAAGGACAACACGGAACCAAUGCACAGAAAACAAUCCCGAAGAAUGAGAUUGCUGACUAAAUUCUGAAAGUAACACACCAUAACUAGUUAUGAUGAUCAAGGGAGCUGUGGAUGUAUCAAUAACACAAGACUUCAGAUCCAAAGGCUUUUCAGAACCAUAAUAAAUCAUGCUUCUGAAUUUGGUGCCUUGAGACACCUUACAAGCUUCGGAGUGCCAUUGAUCUAACAAUGACAUAGGUGCUACUACCAAAGUCGUCCUACUGGCGACAGGAAGGCUGGGUUUAGAAUGUCUAAAGGCUUCUGGUAUUUCAUCGGUUGAAAAGCAAGGUCUAGAAUGAAUAAGUGAUAAUACUUCAAUCGUUUUGCCUAAGCCCAUUUCGUCUGCUAAAAUUCCACCCCGAUGAUAAGGCAUUGAAUUCGGAAACAACAUUGUAGUUUCGCCAGUAUAUAAGUUAACGUAAAAAUGUGUGUUGUCAUCAUCACUAGAACAUUUAAAGAAUUCAGGGAAUUCUGAGUCCUUUGGAAAUCGAAAUCGACUCCACAAAGGAUGAAGCUUAGGUGCACUACCAUCACUUUGUACGCCCUCUUCUUUACAACACAUCCAAUACAAAGCCUGUUUUUGAUACUCACGAAGAUCAAGAGCAAACGUUGAUGGCUUUGGAGCAGACGGCAAUUCAGCUCCAGAAGUUUUAACUUUGUCAUAUAAUAUAGCAAGUUGGUCGCUAACAACAUCUUCCUCGUCUUCAGUUGAGGAUGGGGUUAGAUCUGAGUUACUCUCGUCCCUCGCUUCAGGCAAUGAACUUGUUUUCAAUAUAUCAUCAAUAUGAAUACUCUCUUUAGUGUUGCAGUCUUCAAGGUCUGGUUCCAAAGCUAUCCAAGUAAACAAACGAAGUAAAUGAUCACGUUUAUUUUGAGCAAAAGAGGCUUUUAAAUGUUCUUCCUCUUCUUGCAUAGAAUUAGUUGCCAAAGUGAAUGGAGAUCGGUUCAAGGACGGAUGAUUGACAUUGAUAAAACAAUAAACUUGUAAAGUGACAUUACUCCCAAAUCUAAUUAUAUUGUCGGAGUAAAUGCAUAUGGCUUCAAAUGACCAAAAACCUUGCUCCAUCAACGUUGAAAUAACAGAAGCGACUUCAGUAGGUAAUUUACCAAUUUCAUGAUGAUCUGAAUUACAAAAUCUAACGAUAUUGCUAUAGCAUGAAGAAUUAAUGCUUAGCAAUUUUGAUUUUUUCCUAGAAUUUCUCGAUUGUGAUUUUAUGGAAAGUUUUUGACGUUCUAAAUAGAUCCUUUCGCCAGCCUGGAGUGUUCGAGUACCUGAUGCAGUUGAAUAAGCCUCCACACCAAAGCAUCCGAUAUACUUCAUCAACUCAUUCUUCUUCAUAAUAAAGUCCAGCGGAGUAAGAGCAUUCCGUGAUUGCUUCUUCAUCAUUUCUUCUUUAUCAAUAGAUACAUCUUGAACAGAACUGUUAGAUGACAAAUUCAAUGAAGGGCUAACAGCAUUUAAGGCUUUUUUAUUUGUGUUCCUAUUAAUACUAAGAUCCUUAACGGAUACAGUAUUAGAUAAUUGGUCCAUCUGGGUCAACGAGGCAUCAGUGUCUUUCUGACUUUCACUGUCAGGAUUCGAAUUCUUUAUAUUAAAGGAUUCAUCAAAAUACAUAUCAACGGCGACAUUCAAAUCUCCAUUCGAGGUUUUCCAAAUUUUUUGAGCUAAAAAUUCCGAAAUUGUUUUUUCACCAGUGACAGAUAAAAAGUCUAAAACCCAUGACUCUGAAACUCCACUAUCUCCAUAUUCCUUGCCUGCUGCGUUAGCAUUUUCAUGUUGAGAAUUUGUUUUUAAGUCUACGAUGGAAUUCGCAGCAGUUAAAUCAUUCGGUUUAGAGUCAGCUUCAACAUCUGAAUCAAAAAAUCGAGGAGGAGAAUUUUCUUCUAAAGGGGCUUCAUCUAUAAUUUUUUGUACCUUUCUUUUCAUUUUAUUGAGUUUCUUGGUAAUGUUUGCUUAUCCAAACUUUAAGCUACCAAAAACUGUAGAAAUAUAAAAUAACAUGUAUAAUUUGACAACCAAAAAUAAC
Molecule: non-coding RNA, 4237 nt
Organism: Schizosaccharomyces pombe (fission yeast)
Lineage: Eukaryota; Fungi; Ascomycota; Schizosaccharomycetes; Schizosaccharomycetales; Schizosaccharomycetaceae
Source: the annotation of a GenBank genome assembly